UCUUGUGCUGUAAGGGUGUCUGCAGACUGAUUUUUUCUUGAUUUGAUGUAUUGUCAUUGCAUAUAUCAUUAUCUCCAAGUCUGAUUAGUGUUUGAUUUUGCACAGAUUUGUUUGGGAUCUGCUUUGAAGCAAGCAUCGUUCCUUGUGGUCACAGGUAAAUUUGCAGUCCUGUCUAUUAAUGGUUGGUUCAGAACAUUAGGAGCACAGUGACAAGUUUCAAUUUUAAGGAUUUAUAAUACCCCAUUUCCGCUGGUUUUUCCCCAAUAUGUCAAUGUGUGAUGUGUCUAAGCCUCAUUAUUUCCUUUUGUUAUAGUCAUUAUUCAGCAUGAAGGGGAGCCUUGGCGCAGUGGUAAAGCUGCUGCCUUGUGACCAUGAGGUCAUGGGUUCAAGUCCUGGAAACAGCCUCUUACAGAAAUGUAGGGAAAGGCUGCGUACUAUAGACCCAAAGUGGUUGGACCCUUCCCUGGACCCUGCGCAAGCGGGAGCUACAUGCACCAGGUUGCCCUUUUAUAGUCAUUAUUCAGCAUGGAGCAGAACUGCACACUUAUCAAUGUAUAAUUUAUAUAAAGCUUGAUAUAUUGCAGAGUUGUGCUUCCAUCAUUUCCUAAUAUAUACUGAAAUUAAAAGUUCAGCUUCUAUUUUCCUUAAUAUGCUUUAAUUCCUAUGAUCAACGGCUACAGAUUUCUUCUAACACUGUAAUGCUAGGCUGGAGUUUGAGGUUUUCACUACUGCUCUCAUCUUCGAUGCCAUCUCAAACUACUAAAAUUUUAAAAUUAUGUUUCAUUUUCACCAGGAUUAGGUUCUUUUAUCCAUGUGGUGGUAUGGUUCAAAUGCGAGAACAGAUGCCAUGUAUUGCCAUGACAUACAUUGAACUUUGAGUUUUCGUCAAUGAUGUUGUUAUUUUUAUCUAUUUGUAGCGUCAUAUAAAUGAGUUUUGACAUGGUCAUUUUACAGGACGAGUAAACAAUGGUUGGUCGGUAGAAGCUUCACUUGCGACUGUGUGCCUUUCUGCCUUAAGAAGUUCUUUUCAUUGUCGAAGAACAACAUAAUGUUUAUGGGCCAGUUUUCAUGUGGUAUAGAAAUAUCAGUGAAUGUAGCAGAUAUUUUGCAUGAUCUUUAAAGCAUAGUCUCACACGGAGAACAGUCACAUUGUGUCAUAAGGUGAUAACUAUAAAGUCCACACCAUGUGAAAGACAUUAUAAAUUUAUGCAUUCAUAGGCUGUUUUCUACUAUGAGCACUUGAUUGUCUUGUGACUGUAGCCAUGGAUAAAGUAGAACUUAAUUUGAUGUGUAAUAUCAUGACGUGAGAUGUAGUUCUCCUGUUGAAUUAAUUCCAUUUAGAACCCCUGUGCUCGAG
RNAcentral lists this long non-coding RNA (1357 nucleotides) under Triticum aestivum (bread wheat). Its description in RNAcentral is "long non-coding RNA (TAES_LNC028640)". Lineage: Eukaryota; Viridiplantae; Streptophyta; Magnoliopsida; Poales; Poaceae. The record is from RNAcentral.